This is a long non-coding RNA of Papaver somniferum (opium poppy), 684 nucleotides long. RefSeq lists it as uncharacterized. The transcript is spliced from 3 exons. Lineage: Eukaryota; Viridiplantae; Streptophyta; Magnoliopsida; Ranunculales; Papaveraceae. The record is from RefSeq and is a predicted model, not a curated record.
UUAAGGGUUUGAUGUCUGUUUUGUUGAUGUAGAUUACGUUGAGGGGUGCAACAAAAUCAAAAGAUUAAGGGUUUGAUGCCUGUUUUGUUGAUGUAGAUUACGUUGAGGGGUGCAACAAAAUCAUACUUAAGAACAGUGGAAAACUCUUACAUUGACAGCUCUGACGAGGGGAACCAAGUGGAGGAGGAUAUAAAGAAGGGGAUUGAGAAGAAGAAGGUGGAAAAGAGGGCAGAAGAAAAUGGAAGAUGAAUUACAGAGGAGGAGAAGAACAAGUAGAAGUUGGUUCGUUUUCUAAUAAUUGUUUCUUAAUCGAAUUAGAGUUGAAUAACAUGCUCCCAAAGGAUUUGCUAAGUAUCUUGUCUUUUGAUUUUGUUUAAUUUUGGGCUUAAUUUUACUGUACUCAAUUGAUUUUCCUUUUUAGGUCUGUUUAGGUUAUGUAUUUUAAGAGACUCUGGGUAUGGAAUUUUUGUACUGAAGUAAUAAUUUCUGCUGGAUGAAGAUGCAUCGAUCACUCAUAUCUCUUUGUAGGAUGCAGUUAAUUGAAGGCGAAAUGAACCAAGAAAUAAUUUCUUAUGAUGAAGGAUGCUUCCCCAAUGAUGAAAUGAUGUUAAUCCCAGUAAUUUGGAUUCUUUGCACUUGGAGAAUGAGCAGAGUGCCCUCUUUGCUACGAUGGUUUUGCAGUUC